Molecule: ribosomal RNA, 500 nt
Filed under: Peribacillus simplex
Lineage: Bacteria; Bacillati; Bacillota; Bacilli; Caryophanales; Bacillaceae
Description: bacterial SSU rRNA
Rfam family: Bacterial small subunit ribosomal RNA
Source: RNAcentral
CAGUCGAGCGAAUCGAUGGGAGCUUGCUCCCUGAGAUUAGCGGCGGACGGGUGAGUAACACGUGGGCAACCUGCCUAUAAGACUGGGAUAACUUCGGGAAACCGGAGCUAAUACCGGAUACGUUCUUUUCUCGCAUGAGAGAAGAUGGAAAGACGGUUUACGCUGUCACUUAUAGAUGGGCCCGCGGCGCAUUAGCUAGUUGGUGAGGUAAUGGCUCACCAAGGCGACGAUGCGUAGCCGACCUGAGAGGGUGAUCGGCCACACUGGGACUGAGACACGGCCCAGACUCCUACGGGAGGCAGCAGUAGGGAAUCUUCCGCAAUGGACGAAAGUCUGACGGAGCAACGCCGCGUGAACGAAGAAGGCCUUCGGGUCGUAAAGUUCUGUUGUUAGGGAAGAACAAGUACCAGAGUAACUGCUGGUACCUUGACGGUACCUAACCAGAAAGCCACGGCUAACUACGUGCCAGCAGCCGCGGUAAUACGUAGGUGGCAAGCGUU